RNAcentral lists this ribosomal RNA (339 nucleotides) under uncultured eukaryote. RNAcentral describes it as "partial 18S ribosomal RNA". It matches the Rfam family "Eukaryotic small subunit ribosomal RNA", at positions 1470 to 1796 of the family's 1831-position model. The record is from RNAcentral.
CCCUUAGAUGUCCGGGGCUGCACGCGCGCCACACUGAGUGGAUCAGCGUGUGUCUACCCUUCGCCGAGAGGCGUGGGUAACCCGCUGAACCCCACUCGUGAUAGGGAUUGGGGAUUGCAAUUAUCCCCCAUGAACGAGGAAUUCCCAGUAAGCGCGAGUCAUCAGCUCGCGUUGAUUACGUCCCUGCCCUUUGUACACACCGCCCGUCGCUACUACCGAUUGGAUGGUUUAGUGAGACCCUCGGAUCGGUCCCGACUCGGGGUGGGCUUCUGCCCCGGUCGUGGUUUCGCCGAGAAGACGGUCAAACUUGACUAUCUAGAGGAAGUAAAAGUCGUAACG